AUGUUGUCUGCUAGCACCGUAAUAUGUCCAUCCAUUAACCACUAUUUUGUCGAAAUACAGGCCUUUGCUUCUGGUUAUUACAAGCUAGGUAGUAUUGUGGCAGUGAUCGGAAACUUCUACACGACUCAUCACCAUCAUGUCCAUGCCCCAGACUUGGGUGAGUGCUCAAGGAAGAAUUUUGUAGUUCCACUGUUGGAUCCCAAGCAGGAAAUUCAUGAUCAGCCUUGCGCAAGCUAUGGAGUUUCAAGAAAUCGAUUGACAGGUGGAGUGACUGCUAGGGUCAUAAACGAAGAAACAAUGAAGUUAUUGGACAGCAAAACAGAUUGUUUAUUCCCAAUGUCGUUGCUCUUGCAAAACUGCAGGCCUAUUGGUUAUGUGGUAAGCAACCACUGGACCCUUUAUGCAAGCACACAAAUGUUG
This 420-nucleotide ribosomal RNA is filed under the name Triticum aestivum (bread wheat). RNAcentral's name for it is "partial small subunit ribosomal RNA". Lineage: Eukaryota; Viridiplantae; Streptophyta; Magnoliopsida; Poales; Poaceae. The record is from RNAcentral.